This 76-nucleotide transfer RNA is filed under the name Roseovarius sp. Its description in RNAcentral is "tRNA-Thr". It matches the Rfam family "tRNA". Rfam says of the family: Transfer RNA (tRNA) molecules are approximately 80 nucleotides in length. Their secondary structure includes four short double-helical elements and three loops (D, anti-codon, and T loops). Further hydrogen bonds mediate the characteristic L-shaped molecular structure. tRNAs have two regions of fundamental functional importance: the anti-codon, which is responsible for specific mRNA codon recognition, and the 3' end, to which the tRNAs corresponding amino acid is attached (by aminoacyl-tRNA synthetases). tRNAs cope with the degeneracy of the genetic code in two manners: having more than one tRNA (with a specific anti-codon) for a particular amino acid; and 'wobble' base-pairing, i.e. permitting non-standard base-pairing at the 3rd anti-codon position. The record is from RNAcentral. Lineage: Bacteria; Pseudomonadati; Pseudomonadota; Alphaproteobacteria; Rhodobacterales; Roseobacteraceae.
GCCCCUAUAGCUCAGCUGGUAGAGCAACUGAUUUGUAAUCAGUAGGCCGGGAGUUCGAGUCUCUCUGGGGGCACCA